This 278-nucleotide ribosomal RNA is filed under the name uncultured bacterium. Its description in RNAcentral is "partial 16S ribosomal RNA". It matches the Rfam family "Bacterial small subunit ribosomal RNA", at positions 338 to 633 of the family's 1533-position model. The record is from RNAcentral.
CCUACGGGGGGCAGCAGUGGGGGAUAUUGCACAAUGGGGGAAACCCUGAUGCAGCGACGCCGCGUGAGUGAAGAAGUAUUUCGGUACGUAAAGCUCUAUCAGCAGGGAAGAAUAAUGACGGUACCUGACUAAGAAGCCCCGGCUAACUACGUGCCAGCAGCCGCGGUAAUACGUAGGGGGCAAGCGUUAUCCGGAUUUAUUGGGUUUAAAGGGUGCGUAGGCGGGACGGUAAGUCAGCGGUAAAAAUGCGGAGCUCAACUCUGUCGAGCCGUUGAAAC